CUCCCUUCUCCCCCCCCCUCCCCCCCCGCCCGUCAAGCCUUUGGCAUCAUUAUCCUCAUCACUAAAUCCUACAGAGUACAGGGCGGAAAACGGUGCACAC
This is an unclassified non-coding RNA of Cercocebus atys (sooty mangabey), 100 nucleotides long. NCBI's taxonomy places the organism in Eukaryota, Metazoa, Chordata, Mammalia, Primates, Cercopithecidae. The record is from Ensembl.